AAUUUCAAUAUUUUAUAUUAUACAAGUGUCAAGAGUUAUAAAAAUAAAAUAAACAUUUAAUGUUGACCUAUUAACUAUUACUUUUUGUGGACCUAAAUAUUUAUAAAAAUAUUCUAAUUAAUAUUUUGUAAUAUUACGUUAGAUGUAUAAAUUCUGAGCUUUUAUUAUUAACUAAAAUGUUGGGCUGUGAUGGCUCUAUGACUUUACAUGGUAUCGAGUAGCUUGUUAAUAUAAUUAUUAAAUUAUUCAGACUUCAAGGCUUCAACAUAUCCGUCGUAAAUACAGUAUUUUAACAAUACUGUAUGGGUGUGUUGGAUCAAGUCGCUUUUGUUGGCCUUCAUGGCAAACACACAGCCAUUGAGCCACACCUGCGGCAUUGCAAUCUCUAACUAAUGGAACGGGUUCAAACAACGAUAAGCCAGUACUAGUAGCUGCAAAAUGAUUCUUAACGUUUUGGUCUUGGAUACUAUUUACAUAGAUAUCAUAGGUGGAUGUCAGUCUCAUACGGUUGUCACGGAGGGAUUCUUUCCAGGAUGGAUACUUCAUGCUUACCCAUUCUGGAAUUACUACUGUGACCAUUGGCAUUCGGUCCUCUAUGGUUCCAACUUUGGUUCGCCGAAUAAAAUCCAUACGAUUGCCAUGAUCACCGAGCACAAAAACCACAGUUCGA
Long non-coding RNA from Aphis gossypii (cotton aphid), 670 nucleotides. RefSeq lists it as uncharacterized. The record is from RefSeq and is a predicted model, not a curated record. The transcript has 3 exons. NCBI's taxonomy places the organism in Eukaryota, Metazoa, Arthropoda, Insecta, Hemiptera, Aphididae.